UGAACGAUCUGACGUGAAAGAAACUUUCUUUUUCUUAACCUAUUUAAGUUAGUAAUUAUGUAAAAAAACAUAAAUAUUUUAGAGGGACGACAAGACCCUAAAAGCUUAAUUUGAAAUAAUUUUAUACUUAAAUAAAACUAUUAAUUAUUACAAAAGUUUUGCUGGGGCGGCAAAUCUCUAAACUAGAUUUUUUAAAACACUCUAAGUGGGUAUUAGUUACCUUAAAAAAUAAAAAGAAAAGUUACUUUAGGGAUAACAGCAUAAUUAACUAACAGAGCUCUUAUCGACUAGUUUGAUUAUGACCUCGAUGUUGAAUUGAAACACUUUAAGGAGCAGAAUCUUUAUACAGUAAGUCUGUUCGACUUUUAAAAUUUCACAUGAUCUGAGUUCAAACCGGA
This 398-nucleotide ribosomal RNA is filed under the name Ligia italica. RNAcentral describes it as "partial 16S ribosomal RNA". The stretch from base 82 to 398 matches the Rfam family "Bacterial large subunit ribosomal RNA", at positions 2075 to 2620 of the family's 2925-position model. Lineage: Eukaryota; Metazoa; Arthropoda; Malacostraca; Isopoda; Ligiidae. The record is from RNAcentral.